CCUACGGGAGGCAGCAGUGGGGAAUAUUGCACAAUGGGGGAAACCCUGAUGCAGCGACGCCGCGUGAGCGAUGAAGUAUUUCGGUAUGUAAAGCUCUAUCAGCAGGGAAGAAAAUGACGGUACCUGACUAAGAAGCCCCGGCUAACUACGUGCCAGCAGCCGCGGUAAUACGUAGGGGGCCAGCGUUAUCCGGAUUGACUGGGGGUAAAGGGGGCGUAGACGGGGAUGCAAGCCAGCUGUGAAAGCCCGGGGCUCAACCCCGGGACUGCAUUUGGAACUGGAUAGCUGGAGUGUCGGAGAGGCAGGCGGAAUUCGUAGUGUAGCGGUGAAAUGCGUAGAUAUUAGGAGGAACACCAGUGGCGAAGGCGGCCUGCUGGACGAUGACUGACGUUGAGGCUCGAAAGCGUGGGGAGCAAACAGGAUUAGAUACCCUAGUAGUC
RNAcentral lists this ribosomal RNA (440 nucleotides) under uncultured bacterium. RNAcentral describes it as "partial 16S ribosomal RNA". It matches the Rfam family "Bacterial small subunit ribosomal RNA", at positions 338 to 795 of the family's 1533-position model. The record is from RNAcentral.